ACGGAAGGCAGCAGUGGGGAAUAUUGGACAAUGGGGGGAACCCUGAUCCAGCGACGCCGCGUGAGUGAAGAAGUAUUUCGGUAUGUAAAGCUCUUUAAGCAGGAAAGAAAAUGACGGUACCUGCAGAAUAAGCCCCGGCUAACUACGUGCCAGCAGCCGCGGUAAUACGUCGGGGGCAAGCGUUAUCCGGAUUUACUGGGGAUAAAGGGAGCGUAGACGGCAAUGCAAGUCUGAAGUGAAAGCCCGUGGCUUAACUGCGGGACUGCUUUGGAAACUGUAUGGCUGGAGUGUCGGAGAGGUGAGUGGAAUUCCCAGUGUAGCGGUGAAAUGCGUAGAUAUUGGGAGGAACACCGGAGGCGAAGGCGGCUCACUGGACGAUUACUGACGUUGAGGCUCGAAAGCGUGGGGAGCAAACAGGAUUAGAUACCCUGGUA
This 434-nucleotide ribosomal RNA is filed under the name uncultured Lachnospiraceae bacterium. RNAcentral's name for it is "partial 16S ribosomal RNA". It matches the Rfam family "Bacterial small subunit ribosomal RNA", at positions 341 to 792 of the family's 1533-position model. Lineage: Bacteria; Bacillati; Bacillota; Clostridia; Lachnospirales; Lachnospiraceae. The record is from RNAcentral.